This 2554-nucleotide long non-coding RNA is filed under the name Pomacea canaliculata. RNAcentral describes it as "uncharacterized LOC112565301, transcript variant X2". Lineage: Eukaryota; Metazoa; Mollusca; Gastropoda; Architaenioglossa; Ampullariidae. The record is from RNAcentral.
AGAAGUAACGAGGGCGGCAUGGUCAUUAUGUAGCUGAGCUUUUGCUCAUGACUAUGAACACAAAAUGAAUGCCGGGAAUUAUGGCAGAAUUUAAGACCAUCGACCGUCGGAGAUGGAGACGACUAAACCCUAAUAUAAAGGUGAAGCUGUGCUCAAGACGAAUUUAGCAAUACUGUACAGGUAAAUCCGAUCAUAUCUACAAUUGUCAUAUAUUGCUGAUUGCAUACAAUGGAUAAUUUCGCCCUGCCUCCAGCUGACGACAGAAAAGAUAAAAUUAAUACAAAGGGAUGACGAGGAUUGAUAACAUCUAGAUGUGGCGUCACCAAGGUUGAUAGGAGCACUCAUGGUAUAGAUAUGAACCCUGCGGAUGAUUGCCAACCUAUUAGUGGAUAAAAAUUCGAACAGGUAUCAUCAUCAUCAGCAGCAUGGCUGUGUGGAAUUCAAGUUGGCGAGCCGAGCAUAAGGCCGACCUGAGGCAAGAGAUAUUUGUGUACGUGGGGAAACCAAAGGGCAUGGUACCCUGGAGAUAAGUCCAUCCUUCACAGCACAAGCCGCUGGAUGCAGGUGACUGAGCAUCCACACGCUCCCCGGACGUUCGUCAACCUUGACCGAUAAUUGCUGCGGGUGUGAGCAGAGGUUAGACUAAAAUAUAUGUGAACUGUUGACCCAAAGCUUUUAUCUAAAAAUGAUAUGAUGUGAACUGUCCAGGAAUGCAAACUAGAGCCAAGAACAAAACUAAAUGUCAUCAGGUAAGGGCCGUCUGUUUACAGUCCGAGUUCAUUCCAUCGUCCUAAUAAGGAAGAAGGGCAAAAAUAGCCUGACAUUACAUGUUUCGGGAGAUUCACCGUCUGCUCGGCGGAUACAGCACCGCCACUAACAGGAUCUGGUGAAGUCAGGAUCGGGUGAUCAGGAGACAGUAAGAUGCGUUUUUCCUGACUGGGAAACGAGAGAUCGUUAGCCACUGGAUCGAUGGGACACAAGGAAACGACUGUCACAAGCUGCUGAUGCAGCGCUGUAAAGAUGGGGGACACUUGCUGGACACUAAACAUCUUCUUGGACAUCCUUUGGGACCUACAGAAGAAUCGCAUGACAACCAACAUUAUUUCAACUGUAGAAAGAACCAGUUCUGCAAUGAGAAACUAGUACUGGUGAAUACUCCAACUGGUCAUAGAAUUCUACUCAAAGACUUUUACAGGUGACAGUUUCUGACUGACUAAAAUUAACGAAACUAACCACAACUUGGAUUUUACACAUUACUCGUGUCGGCGACUCUUUUCUCUUUUUUAUCAAUGCCUAGCAUUUCUGUUGUCUGGUGUUGUAUCUCUGAUUAGUAUCAUUUCUCUGAUUUACAGGUGACAGUAGUUGCUGUAAAUCUGCGUAUUUUCCUUCUUUUUUUUCUUUUUUUUUUUUGCCAUCUUGAUUUCUACCUUCUUUUAUAAAGUGUUUUACAAGUAGAGAUAUUUUUAACACGAGUGGAUGUCGAAACAAAUGAAUCAUGACUCAGCAGGCUCCUUGUUGUUUCCACCACGGAAGUACAUUUCUAUGUCCGUGGUUUUCAUUCAAGACAUCCUUGGGAGUAAGGCGGUGUAUGGUCAACCCAUCAAGCCAAUGCCAGGUGACAGACGAGAAUCAAACAGUCAUUAUAGUCACAGGUGUGAGCAAUCAGUGUGCAGUGAGAGGAUAAAUUACUCACAAAAUGUCUCCUCCUCCUCCACCCUACAUCCACCCACACACUCGUCUCCAUUGCCCUCCUGUGACCAGCUUGUUGCCAUGUGACUGACCCGCUAAGAUCUUGAGAAGCAGGUUUGACAGUGACCUCAACAUGCAACAUGCAGGUGACGGUUUUUCAGAUGCCACUCCGAAAAAAAGUGUUUUUUUUUCGGUCCCUCCCCCUACUCUCAGUGAAUUAUUUCCCUAGCUACUUCAGAGCUUUACAUGUGGCGAGUGUGAAGAAAGUGUGUUACAAGCUGUAAAACUCUCAUUGGCACAGUUUACAGGCCUGAAGAGUGAUGGCGGCUGCUGGAUGGGAAAGAGCAAACGAGCUCAAGAACGAAAGGUUGCUGCUGGUGUCAAGGAGAACAUAAGAAUCUAGUUAGCCACUGUUUGCGGUUAUUUCUGUGUGAAUGGGUGGAGUGGGGUUUGGUAAUGAAGACAGAAAACAACCACAUUUUUCACUCCUUUCUUCUUCCGGGUUGUCUAUCUCGCGCACGCGCACACACACACAGCUAAAGAUCUUGUAGCACGAAUGGUCCUCUUUCCCCAUCCUGUAACUACUACAGCACGUGACCCCAGGGAAUGAAAAGCCAUUCCUGUUUAAUGAAGUGUCAAGGCCAGCGACCAUGAGCAGGCAGAAGAGGCAGAGCCGGUUACUGAGGCCUCCUUAUCUGUCGUCUGCCUCAGCCUCGGUUGCCCUAGCAAGGAUCUGGAACAAGCCCUCCCCUCCAUCCUCCCACAAGCACCGCAAGCCUCCAUUCCCGCCGGGAAAGAUUUUGUCGCUUCGCCAUUGAUGAAGAAAGCUCUGGAAUCGAUUUCUUUUUUUUUUCUGUUUUUUUUU